UCUUACUCUGUCCUUCAACGUUCUUCUACUUGAUCUAAGAAUCAAAUGGAUACAAGACAGACUAACGGGUAAAAAUCAAACAAAAGUUUUAUAAUAUUUAUAUCUCCUGUAUUCACAGGAAAGACCCAGGAAAACUGAAUAACUCCUCAAAAUGACUGAGACAAUCACCUUCAAUGCCAUCUCCAGCUAAAGACAAAAGAUGAUGACGUUGGAGGUAGGAAGUCAGCUAUGAGAGGUCACCAAAAAAAGCACGAUAAACACAGCACGAGCUGGAUCUCUAACGCCACAGAAAAUGCUUCUAGUCAGAGUCACCUCCCAAACACAGACAGUUAGGGCAAAAGCAAAACAGAAUGACCAGGGACUGAGGCAUAGACCAGAUUCGGCCGAUUAUCCCACCUGCCUCUUGAGAUACAACGGACAGUUUCCUCUCAGCACUUUCCCAUUGACCAAGGUAAGAGCCUAAGAAAUGCCCCCUGGAGUCAGUUCAAUCAA
Molecule: long non-coding RNA, 492 nt
Organism: Suricata suricatta (meerkat)
Lineage: Eukaryota; Metazoa; Chordata; Mammalia; Carnivora; Herpestidae
Exons: 3
Source: RefSeq, a predicted model, not a curated record